Long non-coding RNA from Nothoprocta perdicaria, 363 nucleotides. RefSeq lists it as uncharacterized. NCBI's taxonomy places the organism in Eukaryota, Metazoa, Chordata, Aves, Tinamiformes, Tinamidae. The transcript is spliced from 3 exons. The record is from RefSeq and is a predicted model, not a curated record.
AAUGCUCUUUGUAAUGGAGCCCAGGAAACCAUUGACGUUCUUUGCCACAAGGGCACAUUGACUCAGCUAUGAAGUAAAAUGGAAAUGAGCAACUCAGCUGCAGAAUUACAAGCAGAUGAGAAUCAAGGGCCUGUUCCUCACUGCAUGGCCUAGAUCUUCCACUGGGAACCCACCUGAAAACCUGAGUCUGGAGCAUGACUUGAACAUACAGAUGAGAAAAGCUCAGUUUUCAUUGGGAUUCUAUUUUAAGCUACCCCAGGAGCAAAAAGAAUGAGAUCAGGAGUGAGAUUUGCCUGCAGAUGAAGUAUGUGGGGUGAGUUACUUCUGGAGGUCAACCGUCGUACUCACUGGACUAUGAAUACU